Molecule: ribosomal RNA, 495 nt
Filed under: Triticum aestivum (bread wheat)
Lineage: Eukaryota; Viridiplantae; Streptophyta; Magnoliopsida; Poales; Poaceae
Description: partial small subunit ribosomal RNA
Source: RNAcentral
AUGAUUUCUACACACGAAGCUCUACUAUCUGGUGUCAAGGACUCCCUCCGCAUCACUAGUUGUGGUUCAUGCCAAUGUUGCCAGGCUAUGAUAUCCAACUUGGAGUUUCAUCAUGUCUACAAGUUCUUGUCGCGGCUUCGUAGGGAGUUUGAGUCGUGCCACGCUCUAUACUUUACCAAUGUGCUACGUGUUUCUAGGCACUUACUGAGAUUCAUGCUGAGGAGACUCACCUUUGUGGUGUUGGUCUGCUUGAGGUUCUCUCUAUGCUUGCUAUUCAAGAUCCUACUACGUCGUCAAUUGCACCGGCUCCCUACCCCAACAGUGCUCCGACGCUUCUAUGCACUCCAAGUGGUGAAGGUCAUGCUCGUACUCAUGACGACUAUUGCAAUAGGGAUGGUCACCUCAAAUUGGAUUUCUUCAAGAAGAAGAGGCAUAUGGGUGGCUCUUCUUCUGGGACUCAUGCUCCUACUCCAACACCCUCGGCUAUCUCUGUAA